This 253-nucleotide ribosomal RNA is filed under the name uncultured bacterium. Its description in RNAcentral is "partial 16S ribosomal RNA". It matches the Rfam family "Bacterial small subunit ribosomal RNA", at positions 524 to 776 of the family's 1533-position model. The record is from RNAcentral.
UACGUAGGUGGCAAGCGUUGUCCGGAUUUAUUGGGCUUAAAGGGUGCGUAGGUGGCUCUGUAAGUCAGUGGUGAAAUAUCUCAGCUUAACUGAGAGGGUGCCAUUGAUACUGCAGGGCUUGAGUACAGAUGAGGUAUGCGGAAUUGACGGUGUAGCGGUGAAAUGCAUAGAUAUCGUCAAGAACACCGAUAGCGAAGGCAGCUUACCAAGCUCUAACUGACACUGAGGCACGAAAGUGUGGGGAUCAAACAGG